CUACGGGUCGCUGCAGUGAGGAAUAUUGCACAAUGGGGGGAACCCUGAUGCAGCAACGCCGCGUGGAGGAUGACGCAUUUCGGUGUGUAAACUCCUUUUAUAUGUCAAGAAAAUGACGGUAGCAUAUGAAUAAGCACCGGCUAACUCCGUGCCAGCAGCCGCGAUAAUACGGAGGGGCAAGCGUUACUCGGAAUCACUGGGCGUAAAGGACGCGUAGGCGGGUUGGAAAGUCAGGUGUGAAAUCCUACAGCUUAACUGUAGAACUGCACUUGAAACUUCUAAUCUAGAGUAUGGGAGGGGGAGAUGGAAUUAGUGGUGUAGGGGUAAAAUCCGUAGAUAUCACUAGGAAUACCUAAAGCGAAGGCGAUCUCCUGGAACAUUACUGACGCUAAGGCGUGAAAGCGUGGGGAGCAAACAGGAUUAGAUACCCGCGUAGUC
RNAcentral lists this ribosomal RNA (438 nucleotides) under uncultured bacterium. Its description in RNAcentral is "partial 16S ribosomal RNA". It matches the Rfam family "Bacterial small subunit ribosomal RNA", at positions 339 to 795 of the family's 1533-position model. The record is from RNAcentral.